Molecule: small RNA, 1646 nt
Filed under: Pan troglodytes (chimpanzee)
Lineage: Eukaryota; Metazoa; Chordata; Mammalia; Primates; Hominidae
Description: retained intron
Source: RNAcentral
UUCAGCACUUCCGGCCUGACCCCUGUCCAGCGCCUUUCCUUUCUCCAGCUUCUGCUCUGCCCCAAGAGUGGUCGCCUUCGUGGCAGGGCACGACUCUCUCCCAGCUCGGGUCGCCGCCCACAUUAGUGUGGGGCCCUGCGGCCUAGCGUCCCUCACCAGAGGCCUCCCCUUGCCCAGCUGGACCGCCGAGAGACAUCGACGAGUACCCUCCUCCUGCUGUCCCCGGCUUCGCCUGCCGCCCCUAACCGGCCAGUCAAGAUGGCCGCCGCUGGGUGAGGCAAGCUGGCGCGCCGCGGGGGCGUCUGGGAGUUGUAGUUCGGGACGGCGGGCUGACGCACUUCGCCGCCGGCCGACGGGCGCCAUUGUGCGGCGCGCGCCGGGACUCUGCCCACUUCCACCAGAGACACAUUGAGAAGGAGGAAACUAUGGCCUCCAGGCUUCCGACGGCCUGGUCCUGUGAACCAGUGACCUUUGAAGAUGUAACACUGGGUUUUACCCCGGAAGAGUGGGGACUGCUGGACCUCAAACAGAAGUCCCUGUACAGGGAAGUGAUGCUGGAGAACUACAGGAACCUGGUCUCAGUGGAACAUCAGCUUUCCAAACCAGAUGUGGUAUCUCAGUUAGAGGAGGCAGAAGAUUUCUGGCCAGUGGAGAGAGGAAUUCCUCAAGACACCAUUCCAGAGUAUCCUGAGCUCCAGCUGGACCCUAAAUUGGAUCCUCUUCCUGCUGAGAGUCCCCUGAUGAACAUUGAGGUUGUUGAGGUCCUCACACUGAACCAGGAGGUGGCUGGUCCCCGGAAUGCCCAGAUCCAGGCCCUAUAUGCUGAAGAUGGAAGCCUGAGUGCAGAUGCCCCCAGUGAGCAGGUCCAACAGCAGGGCAAGCAUCCAGGUGACCCUGAGGCCGCGCGCCAGAGGUUCCGGCAGUUCCGUUAUAAGGACAUGACAGGUCCCCGGGAGGCCCUGGACCAGCUCCGAGAGCUGUGUCACCAGUGGCUACAGCCUAAGGCACGCUCCAAGGAGCAGAUCCUGGAGUUGCUGGUGCUGGAGCAGUUCCUAGGUGCACUGCCUGUGAAGCUCCGGACAUGGGUGGAAUCGCAGCACCCAGAGAACUGCCAAGAGGUGGUGGCCCUGGUAGAGGGUGUGACCUGGAUGUCUGAGGAGGAAGUACUUCCUGCAGGACAACCUGCCGAGGGCACCACCUGCUGCCUCGAGGUCACUGCCCAGCAGGAGGAGAAGCAGGAGGAUGCAGCCAUCUGCCCAGUGACAGUGCUCCCUGAGGUAAGCGGGGAGUAUCACCCUGUUUUGGUCACAGCAUCUCCUGUGAGGCAGGCCCACCCCUGAGGCAUCCACUCUGCCCUGGGCUUUCCUAAGACCUCCCACAGGCUGGGACAUUCUGAGAUUCUGAGCUCUUAGGUCUGUGCUGAAGCAAUCUGAGUAUGAAGAGCAGCCCUGCCCUCCAGCCACUGUGGCAUCACUGGAGACAACGCAUGGUGACCCGGGAGCUGAGAAAGCAGGAGGCAAAAGGGAAGGGACUAAGUGUUUACAGAGACUUGAGAGGUGGAACUACCACAGGCAGGCACAUCUGUAUCCAGGUCAGAACAAGAGAGCCCUCAACCUUCAGAAAUGCAUACUUAGGUAUUUAUCUUU